RNAcentral lists this ribosomal RNA (497 nucleotides) under uncultured bacterium. Its description in RNAcentral is "partial 16S ribosomal RNA". It matches the Rfam family "Bacterial small subunit ribosomal RNA", at positions 28 to 507 of the family's 1533-position model. The record is from RNAcentral.
GAUGAACGCUGGCGGCGUGCCUAAUACAUGCAAGUCGAACGCUGAAGCUUGGUGCUUGCACCGCGCGGAUGAGUUGCGAACGGGUGAGUAACGCGUAGGUAACCUGCCUGGUAGCGGGGGAUAACUAUUGGAAACGAUAGCUAAUACCGCAUAAGAGUAGAUGUUGCAUGACAUUUGCUUAAAAGGUGCAAUUGCAUCACUACCUGAUUGACUUGCGGUGUAUUUGCUUGGUUGUGAGGUUACGGGCUACCAAGGCAACGGUUCAUAACCGACCUGGGAGGGGGGUCGGCCACACUGGGACUUGGGCACGGCCCAGACUCCUACGGGGAGCAGCAGUAGGGGAACCUCGGGAAUGGACGGAAGUCUGACCGGGCAACGGCGGGGGGAGUGAGGAAGUUUUCGGAUCGGAAAGCUCUGUUGAAAGGGGAGGAAGAGUGGGGGAAGUAAAAGUGCACACUGUGACGGUAUCUUACCAGAAAGGGACGGCUAACUACGUG